This 27-nucleotide non-coding RNA is filed under the name Drosophila melanogaster (fruit fly). The record is from RNAcentral. RNAcentral also lists the same sequence under 2 other names. Lineage: Eukaryota; Metazoa; Arthropoda; Insecta; Diptera; Drosophilidae.
UGACCUCAAAUCAGGUAGGACUACCCG